CGAUUCUCGAAUGAAAACAAGGCGAGUCGCAGCUACAUUCACGCGCUUCCGUGUUUACGUCCGCGCUGUUGUGUCUAUUUCGCGCUCGAAGAUUACUAUCGGAAAAGUGUCUCGUGACGUAAAAAAUAAAGAUAAAUGCACGCGUUAUUAUAUUAUUGCGAUCUCGCCGUGAUUAGCUUUGUGUGUUUCAUUAUUAAUUCUCUCGCGUCAGAUUUGAUUUCUUCGCUGUUCGUCGCAAAAUCAUUAUUGUCAGACAAGUGCUAAAAUAUCAAUCAAAUAAUCAGUAUAUAUUUGCCAUGAAAUACAUCCUUGGAAAAACGCUAAAAAUAUUUCGUAUAGUGCGUCUAUAUAAUUUCCCUAGUUCGAGACUCAUCAUAAUUGCUUUCCGAUAGAUGGCAAUCGAUCGCGUGUCGCGAUCGAUAGGUCGAUAGGUCGAGUCGUCUCGCGGGAUCGCUCGCGAUCACGUGAUCAUUCCCGCAAAGAUGGCCGCUCGUGAGUGUUCCCGCGUAUAAAAGUGUCCGCAAAAAUAGCGCGCGAGCAAUUACGCGCCAAGUGUUCGCCGAGUCUUUCGUAACGUAACGUAACGUGUGUGUAACGCGAAUGUGAUUAAAAUUAUUUGUGAUUAAAAUGAAAAUUCGUGACAACAAAUUUUCAUUAGAAAAUGAUAUUCCGGAAGUGAAUGUGCAAAGUGGUCGGAGUGUUCCGGAGACGACACGACAGUCGAGACUUCAGCAGCUUGGGUCGGCUUCGAUCAGCUUCAGUUAGUUCCUCGAACGGAGAAUUGGAGCAAGAAUCUCCGGAACUGACUGAAAGCUGCAACGAC
Molecule: non-coding RNA, 823 nt
Organism: Nylanderia fulva
Lineage: Eukaryota; Metazoa; Arthropoda; Insecta; Hymenoptera; Formicidae
Source: RefSeq, a predicted model, not a curated record